CAGCUGUUUGCAAGGGAGCUGGAGAGGCCUCUUCCCCCAGACCUUGAAAUUAGGCUUGAGGAACUGCUCCAGAUUGUCCGUAACAAGCAGAACAGCAUGCACCCAGCAAGACUUCCUGUCCUGAAGAGGCACGAUGCGGGCUCGGCACGACUAGGAGGGGCGAGGAAGGAGGGUGCUGGGGUAGUCAGGCUGCACUGGCGGGGGUUGUGGGGGAUGUGUGUGCGUGUGCAUGGGGGUACAUAGCAGAAGUGGGCAGAUUUCAGAAGGGAAACCUAGAGGUGUUUCCUAGAACUGAGAACCUAGAAGUGGCGCGUCCUGGAGCUGCAGAGGUGAACCCGCCUGUAUCUCACCCGUGAUGCGUGGGGCCCAGGAGGACAGGGUUGGUCCACCCAGGGCCAUGUAGCCAUCAGACUUGGGGCCCCAGCUGCUGUGCCAGAAAGAGCUGGGGCCGGGCAGACCCUGAGAAGGGAUGUGAGUGUGCACCUCUGGGCUUCAUGAGCAGCCUCAGCUCGGGUGGAGGGGAGCUUGGCUCCUCAAACCCUCUCCCUGCACAUACAGGCAUGCAUGCACAUACAUACAUGUACAGUGUCCACACACACAUAUGUAUCCACACACGUCCUUGUGCACACAUAGAUCCAUGCACACACAUGAACAUGCCAAGGCAUAUGUGUGUGCACGCACACAUCUAUGUGCAUGCAAGCAUGAACACCCAUACAUACACAUAUCCACACAUGCAUGCAAGCAUGCAACCCAUUCAUGCACACAUGCAUGCACACAUCCACGUACACACUGUCUACAUAUACCAUAAGGAUUCUGCAGUGCAUCCAUGCAUACAGAAUAUGCACACAUGUAUGCACACAUACAUGUUCACAUGCAUGCCUACGUGUGCACACACAUGUCCAUGUACUAUUCACAUGCAGGUGCAUACAUACAUAUGCACUAACAUACAUGUGCUCUUUGCACAUGUAUCUCUACACAUGCAUAUACAUGACACUGGCAUAUGUAGAAAUGUUAUGUACCCAUGCUGUGCACAUACCUGUGCAUACCGCAUGCAUGCACACCCUUGCCUAUGUAGAUAACACAAAUCCAUGCACAUUGCACACACGUUUUUAUGCCUGUGCUGCACACAUCUGUCCCUAUGCAUGACCCCAGUCAUGCAUGUGCACACAUGGGUUCGCACAUAUGGAUGUGUAUGCACAUAUGUGGCACCUGUGGUCUUGCCCACCCUCCUAGGCUGAGGAGAAGAUGUAUUUCUGGGUUUCUGCUGCAGCCAGCUCUUCCAGGGCUGCAGCUGUUUUCUGCAUCGCCUCCCUUGCCUGCACAGCUCCACCUGGCUCUUGGAGUCAGCCCUCCUCUCCAGACUUCGAGGACAUUUCUCACUACCUCCUGUGGACUCUGGGCCUGGCCAUGUGCUGUCCACAGGCCUGGAUGCCCUCUGCCGCACCUUUCCUGGGGCUCUCUUUCUUCAAGCCUUGUCCCAUGAUGUUCCUCCUUCAGGAAGCCUCCCUGACCUCCCAGGCUGGAUCUGGGCCCCUUUUGCUGGCCUCCUGCAUGCCCCGUGGGGUGUGGCCAUCAUCAGUAACCAUGCGUCUCAACUGUGUCCCAUCCCCACUGCCUGGUCCAGGGCCGGGCUCUCAGCUCACAGAAGGAGCUGGAUGAAAGCCUGGUGGCAGGAUGGGUGCCGUGAAGGGCAAAUGGGCUUGUGGGCCUGGCUCCAGCCUCCUUAGCCACACUGAUGCUUGCUGGGUGCUGAGUGCAGGGGGUGCUUUCACCUGGUGGCUGCUUGUGCCAGACCCAGUGACCCUGGCCGACAGGACCUUUUCUCGGUUCCGUGGUGUUUGGGAUCAUCAGAUGUGGCUGCUCAUUCCCUUACUUAUUGUCUGGCAGUGGGGGAGCCUUCUGGCUUCCCGGGCCUCAGUUUCCCCUGUCUGUAAAAUGGGAGCAUUGGACCAGAGCAUUCUGAGGCCCUCGCCAGCCCUGAGCCACCCCCUCCCCCAACUUGGCUGUGAGCUCCUGGGGGUGGGGGUGGCGCCUGCCCAUCUCUGCCCUUGGUUGGUGUCUGCAGGGGAAAGGGAAGAGUCUGGAGUCUGGGCGAGACUGCUCUCCACUCAGCCCUGGUGGGUGUGGGAACUGAGGGAAGCCAGCCCUGUCUUCUUGUCUCAAGACCAAGACCAAGAGGACAUGUUUUCUCCCCGGAGCUGAGCUGAGCUGAGCUGAGCUUUCUUUCCCUAUGUUUAUUUGAAAUUUCAUUUUUAAAGACGAGUCAGGGAAAAAUGAGACUUGCUUCUCUCCCUGCCCCUCCCUGAAGAAUUCCAGAAACUGAUUUGUCUUGUCAGGAUGUGGCAGGGAGCCGUGGCCUGGGCUGGCUCUCUGAGCUGUUGCAUAUUGAUCAGCAUUGAUGGGUUUGGCACAGUCGAGUUCUUACAGAGCUGGCGGAAGUCCCUCUGGAGAAAGAACUGCUUCGGGGACUGGCUUUGAUUUGCAAUGAGUGUAAUAGAUUAAAGCAGUGGGUCAGCAUGUCUUAUUGAGCACCAGCUGUGUACCUCAGCCCUGGCCCUGCUGGGGUCCAAGCUCAGAUCCCUGCCACCCCCCACCCUUUCAGCUGCCACACGGCUUCCUGCGAGCCCCACCUCUUUCCGCCCGCUGCACCUGCUUCAGUCUCCACCUAGCUUCUCCUGCUAGGGGCUCUCUGCUGCCCUCAGCGGCUGCCCCCAGCUGCCUGAGCCUGACAUUCAGAGCCCUCCAGUGCCCAGCCUCAACCGACAGCCCUUCACUGGUUCAGUUGUCACGCAGUCCGCAGACACCAGGGAGCAUCCUCUGCGUGCAGCCCUGGAGAUGCAGAGGUGACGAGGGUAGGGCGGCCUGGAAGACCUCACCUCCUGCUCCACCAUCCUGGGCCUGGGCCUAGCAGGGAGGCUGGCAGUGGGCCUGCUGCCUGGAUUCUGGGUUCGAGCUGGCUGGGUUUUCCUCUGUGACCUUUCCCAGCCUUAGUGGCCACUGUGCAUACUCCCCAGAAUGACAUCUGCAGAGGUCUCAGCCCGGAGCCAUCUGGGCCCUGCCCGUUGCAGGGUGGCUGCAGGAGAGAGGCCACUUGACCCUGUCCCAGCCAAUGAAACCUGCCUGAGGACAAGGGCGAAAUGUGUCAGAAGGCCCACAGCCUGCCUUCCUGCUUGGUAGGGCACAUGUGAGGAUGUGAUGCCCGGAGCAGCAGCAGCUGUCACGUGACCAGGAGGAGCUAAGGAUAAGGAUGAAAACCAUGGAAGGAAAGAGGGGAGGAAGGUUCUGUAACUUGCAGCUGAACAUAUCCAAGCCAUGAGUUGUCCCCCAAGCUCGUGAGUUGUCCCCAGCUCAAUUCUGCCUCCUUUGGAGAGUGAUGUCCCACAGACCCAUGCGACCCUGCAUACCAAAAGGACUUUGCAGACGUGACUGAGGACCUUGCAUCUGGGAGGUGAUCCCCGUGACACCUGUGGACCCAGUGUCAUCAGGGUCCUCGUAAGUGAAAGAGGCGGGAGGGUCCCAGAAGAGGAGGUGUGAUGACAGAAGCAGAGGUCAGAGCGAUGUGCAGACGGGACCAGUGGCUACAGGACGCGGUGCUUCUGGGAGCUGGAGAGGCAAAGAGACAGACUCUGGCCUGGAGCCUCCGGAAGGCACCGGCCCUGCAGACCACUUCAGACUUCUGACCUCCAGCACUGGGAGAGGAGGCUUAGUGUGGUUCUAAGUGGUGGCAUUUGUGAUCAUUUCUCACCGCAGCCACAGGAGAUGGAUGCAACGCCCGCGGGUGUUUGAGGGAUGGAUGAGUGGAAACGUGUGUGGUGGAGGCCACUGCACCGUCAAAUUCCAGACAGUCCCGAGGAAUGCCCGCUGGCAGCCCUGCCUCGGCCGUUGAGUCAUUAUGUGAUCUUGGGCAAAUCUGAGCCUCUGCUUCACCACCUGUGAAUCGAGGGACAGGACUCAGUGGUCUUUCUGGGUCUUUCCAGGCCCCCAAGUCCUGGAGGGCACUGUGGGAGUGUGAGGUGGAACCCGGGAGUCCCGUGGAUGGGUAUCAAAAUGCCAGCCCUGCUAGAUCCAGGCGUGAUGGAGUCUGAUGUGUGGGCACAGGGCCUUGCACAGGCCUGGGCUGGGCAGACUUGCCCAGGAGCCUCGGGCCACUGCGGGAGGAGGACGCAUGGCCAGCAGGUGCCACCAGGAGAGGAGAGGAGGGUCAGGCUGAGCUGCAUCUCAGGACUCCAAGGAGAGCUUGGAGAGGCAACUGAAACUCUGUGCCACCCCCAACGUCUACCCAGCUGUGGGUCCUUGGGCAAAUUGUCUCGUCUGAGUCUCUAAUACUCAACUUUCAGUACUAACUGGGGUACUGUGUACCAAUUGCCUCUGCCAACCCAUCUGUACUGGGCAGCCCUGGGUACCUGGCUUGGGGGAGGGGUGGGCCUGGGGGGGGACCGAUGCCACAUUUCUCUUUAUCUGUCCCUGUAUUGUUUAAUUUGUUCCAAGUGCUUGAGUUACUUUGGCAAAUAAAAACAAUUCUAAUAAAGAGAACUAAGACCUUA
Molecule: long non-coding RNA, 4544 nt
Organism: Mandrillus leucophaeus (drill)
Lineage: Eukaryota; Metazoa; Chordata; Mammalia; Primates; Cercopithecidae
Exons: 2
Source: RefSeq, a predicted model, not a curated record